Molecule: ribosomal RNA, 680 nt
Filed under: Halomonas sp.
Lineage: Bacteria; Pseudomonadati; Pseudomonadota; Gammaproteobacteria; Oceanospirillales; Halomonadaceae
Description: bacterial SSU rRNA
Rfam family: Bacterial small subunit ribosomal RNA
Source: RNAcentral
GAUGUCGACUAGCCGUUGGGCUCCUUGAGAGCUUUGUGGCGCAGUUAACGCGAUAAGUCGACCGCCUGGGGAGUACGGCCGCAAGGUUAAAACUCAAAUGAAUUGACGGGGGCCCGCACAAGCGGUGGAGCAUGUGGUUUAAUUCGAUGCAACGCGAAGAACCUUACCUACCCUUGACAUCGAGAGAACUUUCCAGAGAUGGAUUGGUGCCUUCGGGAACUCUCAGACAGGUGCUGCAUGGCUGUCGUCAGCUCGUGUUGUGAAAUGUUGGGUUAAGUCCCGUAACGAGCGCAACCCUUGUCCCUAUUUGCCAGCGAUUCGGUCGGGAACUCUAGGGAGACUGCCGGUGACAAACCGGAGGAAGGUGGGGACGACGUCAAGUCAUCAUGGCCCUUACGGGUAGGGCUACACACGUGCUACAAUGGCCGGUACAAUGGGUUGCGAAUCCGCGAGGUGGAGCUAAUCCCAUAAAGCCGGUCUCAGUCCGGAUCGGAGUCUGCAACUCGACUCCGUGAAGUCGGAAUCGCUAGUAAUCGUGAAUCAGAAUGUCACGGUGAAUACGUUCCCGGGCCUUGUACACACCGCCCGUCACACCAUGGGAGUGGACUGCACCAGAAGUGGUUAGCCUAACUUCGGAGGGCGAUCACCACGGUGUGGUUCAUGACUGGGGUGAAGUCGUA